GAGGAUUGACGGUAGAUGUUAGCUCAGGGCUAAUCUUCCUCAAAAAAAAAAAAUACCAGCAUAUUCCAGUUCAUGUACGUUCCCUGGAAUCAAAUCAGAGAAGGAUUUCUCUCCCCUCAGACACUGGUGUUUCAGAAUCUCUGACAAGAACCUUCCUGGAUUAAGAAGAUUAUAAUUCAGACAUGACUCGCUGUUGGAAAGUCUGAAGGUGAUUUAUUCCCUUUGUGGAAGGAUUUUCCAGAGAGUUCCUCAUGAAAAAAGCUGCCUCCAAAGCUUUCAAAAGAGAAUUUGAUUGAUAUUCAAAAAGCCAUGUGGCCCACAAACAUUGUGGCUCGUGGGUACCCAGCACGGUGCUAUCCCCUGGAGUCAGCACAGCAAAGCUCUGCUCCCCAGGAGUGGCCACACCAGCAUGGGCUUCAGUGAACCAACAAGCUGACAGGUCAUUUUAGCUGGUGAUAAAAAGAAUAAAAUAAGAUAAUGUGGUGGAGAGGACCUGAGGUGGGGUGGGGUUCCAAGGAGCUGACGGUGAGUGGAGCUCAAAAUAAUGGGAAGGCCGCAGCCUUGUGAAGGUCUGGCAGGAGAAUGUUCUGCGUGGAAGAAACAAAAGGGAGGAGGUUUGGCAUGUCCGAGGGGCACAAGGAAGUGGGGAGCCUGGGGCAUCAUAAACAGUCAUGCAGAGGGGGUGGAGUGGAGCUAUCGUGAGUCCUGUAGCCGUGGUAACAGGUUGGAUUUUUACUCUAAGUGUAAAACCCACCGGAGGGUUUUGAGCGAGAAGUGGUGAGCACUGGUUUACAGUCCAUCCCAGCUGUACUGCUGUGCAGAAGGGGACCCUGGAGGAGAGGUCGGUACACAAUAUUGCUGCCGGAUGUGGACUAAACCGAUGCUAACCAAUUUCUUUGAUGCUUUGGAUAAAAGAGAGAGUGGGCCCCCACAGUGUGACAGUGUCUCUGGUGGGCAAGGCCAGGAGGCGUGCUGGGGGGAAAGGGAAGGAGCCAGGAAACUGACUGGAGGGCCGGUCCCUGAAUGGGCAUAACCCACAGUGCAAAGCUUAGCACCCCAUGGGGAGGGGACCACUGAGACCUCUGAGUCGAAAGAAGUUAAUCAGACAGCAUCUGCCAGACUCUUGCCCUUUGUGUAUGUUGUCCCAGUGAAUCCUGACAAACACCUGAGACAGGUGUAUGUGUCAGUUAUCUAUUGCUGUGUGACAAAUUACCCCCAAAUUUACUGGAUUAAAACAACAAACAUUUCUUAUCUCACAGUUUCCAUGGGUCAGGACUUCGGGAGCAGCUUGCCUAGGUGGUUCUCGUUCAGGCUGUCUCAUGAAUUUGUGGCCGAGAGGUUGGCUGGGGCUGGAAGAUCCAGUUCGAAGAUGGCGCCCUCACAUGGCUCUUGGCUGGAGGCUCAGUUCUUCACCAGUGGGCCUCUCUUCAUGACAUGGCAGCUGGUUUCCCCUAGAGCGAGAGAUCCAGGAGCAAGAGAGGGCACAGGCAGGAAGCCACAGUGCCCUUUAUGACCCGGUCUCCGAGGGCACAUGCCAUCGCUGCUGCUUUAUCCUAUUAGCUGGAAGUGAGUCACUAAGUCUGGCCCACAGUUAAGGAGAGGGAAACCAGGCCCCACCUCUUGAAGGGAGGAGCAUCCAAGAAUUUGCAGACGUAUUUUAAAACCACCCCAGUGGGCAGCAGCAUUCCCAUCCCAGGCCGAGAGUCUUUGAUGAACUUGCCCCACGUCACACAGCAGGGCAGUGGCAGGAGCAAGAUUAGAACCCAGGUCUCCGGAGCCUGAAAGCUGCCUCAGAUGCCCUGCUGCUGAGAGAGGUGGUCGCCGCGUGGCCAGUAGGCGCACUACUGGGUCUACAGGCCUCACUGCGACCUUGGGAGGACGGCCAUGUCUGAGCGCGCUCAAGAAGUCAGCUGCCACUGCAUGGCCAGCCCUGGUGUGCUCCCCCUGGGCCCGGUGGCUGCUCUGACAGCCAGAGCAGUGCGUGUGCCCUGUUUUUUACGUCAAUCAGCCCCAUUAUUUGUAUUUGCGGCACACACACCCUCUCUCUCCCUAGCUAUCUGGGUACCACACAUGAGUCUCCGGGUACCAGGCCACUCCACAAAGCCCCCUGUCACAGAGUCAGCUCGCUGGGCCUGGCUCCUCCCUUCCUCAAGUGAGUUAUUUUCCAGAAGUUCCCAGGCCUCUGCGGCUAGCUUCCCGUAGGGCCAACCCCUCAGCUCAAGCUUAUGUUUCCAAAAAUGAGCGAGUCCAGCCAGGGGCCCAGCCUGGGGCCAAGACUAGGAUCUCCCUACUUGGGCGGGGGAGUUUGCAGCAGAGUCCCCGCCGGGCUUCAGACACAAACACGAGUCCAGAUGCUACCUAGCAGCGUGCUGCCUGGGUCAGGGCUGGCUCAAGGCCUGGAAGGCCAACCCACUGCGUGGAUCUCCAGCGCUCGGCAGAGUGGGGCUGCGAAGAGGGGACCAGAGGCGGCCUCUGUCUUCCUUUCCCUGCCCUCCGUCCAGCGCCAGGAGGUGCUGGUGGAGUCUCCCAGAGCCGAAGGCGAUUGCGGUGGAGGCAUGCGAUAGAACUUGUCUGAUCACUCCCAGCUAUGCAAUUAAAGGCAGAUUCACGCUGUGGGGGAAUCCGCGUCCAUCCGUGAAGAGCUGCCUCUCUGCUCCACGGAAUCAAGUGCCCUGACUUCAGGUCAGCUGAGCCUCUCCUUGAUUGAGUUUGCAAGCUCUGCGAUCCAUUUGUACACCAGGAAUAAUAAUAGCAUCUGCUUCCCAGUCCUGUUGAGAUUAGACAAGAUAAUGUGUGGAAGGCACGUGGCUGUCUUGGUACACAGUAAGCCCUCCGUGGGCAUCAGCAGUCCAAAUUGAUCGUCACCAUUCAGAAGAAUGGCCCUAUUUCGUACGCUUGGUGUCACGGUGCUGGCCACAGAAACGUUUUGAUGGAGCCUGCUCUGGAAUCGUUUCUACACUCCAAGGAGCAUGUCACCAUCUAAGCAGGUGAAGUCUGUUGUUCCCCAUGGGAGAUCGUGUAUGUCAUGGUUUACCUGUGGACUAGUUGGGGGUCAGGGGGAACAGAGGUACCCAUCAAAGUUCAUGGCUAGACACAUGCCAGAACAUGUGGAGGGAACAGAGAGAGUGGCAAGAGGAACCGAAGGACGUAAAGAGAAAGAAGAGGCCACUAGGUAGCAGGAGAGUGUGACUGAGGACGUGGAAGUUCUGGAUGCUGGUCCUGGCUCCCCUUCCUACAGAGAAGUCAAACCUCCAGUGCGUCUAACUCCCCGAGGGGAAGGAAACAGGGCUCUGCUCUCACCUGAUCCCUGCAGCAACCCAGCCCGCCAGCCUGCAUUUGGGGUGCCGAGGCUUACCGUGUAACGUAACAGAGCGAGACGUCUGCAUUCCCUGCUCAUCUGCAUUUGCCACCAAGCAUUUACUAUUUAUCUCAGAGAUGAAGCUGUCAGACAGUCCACACAUCUGUGCGUGGAUGUAUGAACGCACAAAGCCACUUAUGCUGCAUUUUAAGAGCUUCUGUGUGUCAUGAGUCAUGUGCCCCAAACAUGAUUGUAUCCCUUAUUUAGAACCUGCAGUAGACAGGACUCGGUGCUUUCAGCUGGGGCUGGCCUUAGGCGAGUCACUAAACACCCAUCCUCAAACAUCAAUCAUCCAAGUGAGUAAAACCAUAAACGUGCAGCGAGGUGAUGAUCAGCCGCCCCUCACGGAUUCCCAGCCCCACUUGGGCACCCUGCAGCACCCUAUGGCCACCCACCCCAAGACAUGAAGACAGUCACAUCCCUGCUCCCACGGAGUCCCCCUGUGCCAUCCAGAGGCCAGUGGCCCACCAGGAGGGAAAGAGCCCACACAGAGCUCCCACUGUGUGCCAGGCACUGAGCUAAUUUCUCUGCACCAUCGUGACGACCACCAUUCAGUGAGCUUCGCUCUGCUCCCCUGAUACUCCCAAUGUCCUAUCGAGAGGAAAUGGAGGCUCUGGGAACCCAACUUGCCCAAAGCUGCCCUGCUAGAGGGUGUCAAAGCCUGCAGAUGAACCGCCCAGCCCUGCCCGAGUCCAAAGCUCAGCUUCUUGCUGCUGACCCCCGCUCGCCCCGGCUCCAUCCCCUCAUCCGGACCUCAUGACAACCCUGGGAGGAGAUGGCAAGAAUGGCCUUAGCUGACAGGCAGGGAGAUGCAGGUUCCGGGCUGGGACUCAGACUCAUUCACGGGUCUUCCAGGGCGCCCCCGAUACCAUUGGACAUCACAGAGGGGAGAGAGGGGCUGUGGGGAGAUGAGGGAGAGCACCAUGCCACUGACCUCACAUCCUCAGCAUUUGUAAGAACAAAGGUUUUCUGGGGAGCCACUCAUUACUAGACGCCCGCGCCCCACGUGCCAGAUCACAUCUCACUCUCAACAGUCAUCCCUUGUCCUCUCUGAAGGGGUUUGUCCCCCUCAGUUACCGCCUUUAGAGAUCCCAGUAUUUCACCUCCAGUGGCCUUCAUCCCGGGACACAUCGUUUGGCUUCCCUGCAGGGAAUAGUGUCAAGAGGCCACUGGUGGUGCCUCCCAUCUUGGCUCCGUGUUGCCUUCCGAGCAUCCUGGGCUCCCCGAAGCAGAGCAGAACAGCCAGAAUCCAAAUACUGGCCCCAAUGAGGCCCCAUUCUAAGAUAGCAAAAUACGAUGGACAAAAAAGACCACCGCAAGAGGUGUGCCGAACAGUUCCUUCAAAUAGCGCAUUCCCCACGUCAUGAAAAAUGGUAGGACUUACCAGUGAAGCCUGGUGCCACCUGGCACAGUCUCCCAGCUGGAAAUCUCAGGGCCGCAUUACUGGGAGGGGUCCCUGAGACUAGCUUGGGCCCCACGAAAGCAUUCUGAGCUUUAACCGUGACAGCUUGUCUGAAAAACAGUUCUUCCUUACCCUCGACGGGAAGUUUCAAGAGAAGUCCAAACUGUCACGCCUCCUCUCUCUCAUCGGACCACUAUUGACCUCCCCAGCUCACCUGGGCUGAGUGGUAGCCACAGAUGGGAAACGCUUUCCCAGAGGCUGCAGUUUCGGGGGCUGGCGUGGGGAUGGGGUCUGUGCCUCCCUCACAUGCUCUGUGCUGCUCUGAGCACCACCUUUACAGGGCAGGGCCAGUGGGGCUAUUCAUGCUGGCUUCCCUUCGGAGGGGCCCUGGAGGCCCAGAGACAAAUGCAGCAGAGAUGUCUGCCCUCCCAGGAGCUCACAGUGUGCUCUGACUGUUGCCAUAGAAAGGGAAGCCUGGGCUGCUGCAGUGGGUUCAAUUGUGGCCCCCAAAGGUAUGUCCACCCGGAAUCUCAGAAUGUGACCUUAUUUGGAAUAGGGAUCUCUGCAGAUGUAAUUAAGGUAAAGAUCUCAAGAUGAGAUCAUCCUGGAUUAUCAGGGUGGGCCCUACAUCUGAUGACGAGUGUCCUUAUAAGAAAGGAGGGGGAGAUUUGAGACACACAGGGAGAUGGCCAUGUGAAGAUGGAGGUAGGGCUUGGAGUGCUGCGGCCACAAGCAAGGGAUGCCUGCAGCCACCAGGAGCUGGAAGAAAUAAGGAGGGAUCCUCCCCUAGAGCCUCUGGAGGGAGCGUGGCCCUCAACACUUUGAUUUCAGACUUCUGGCCCCUAGACCUGUGAGAGAGUAAAUUUCUGUUGCUUUAAGCCACUGGUUUGUAGUAAUUUGUCACAGCAGCCCCAGGACACUAAUGCAAGUGCUGUUGUGAGAGGCUGGGCUCCCUGGGAAGCCAGCUCUGAGAUGGAGGUGAGCGAGGGGGACGUUGAUGAGGGGUGCUCUUGUGGGGAAGGUAAGGAAGCAGGACUGGGCAGACGGAGAAGUGGGGCUGCAGUGUCAGGAUGGCUCUUCAGAGUGGGGUCGGGGUGAGCAGCUGAGCCUUCUACCCCUGCAUCCAUCACUUGGCCGCAGACCCCAGGAAGAGGACAUGACCUUGGAUGAGACAAAUCUCCUCUGUCAAGGGCAAUUCCAAGAGCAUCCCCAGCAGUUGGGGGCCUAGAUCCUUCAGCCCUGAAGGGGGAUGGGGGUGGCAUAUCCCUGCAGCCCUGAUCGCUUUUAGGCCAACAAGAGACAGAGGGCUCCCCCACUUCAAGGGACCGCCCUGAUCCAACAUGCGAUCUUGAACCUAGCAUCACCUUGUACCUGUCCCAGCCCAGAGGGACAUGCCCUACUGUCAGCAUGAGGCUCUGGGAUCAGCUGGAUCAUGGGUGUCCCCUGCCAGGGGGGUUAUAGUGACAGGGGCCUCAGCACAAAUUCCUGCUCUCUAUCCCCGAUCCCUCCCCGCGGUCGACCGUGGAGGUGUUUGGUCAACUGACAGCAGUAUGUCUAAUUACAUAUACUUGCCACGGAUGCCUGAUGACAUGUUACCCAGUGAGGAUUAUGCAUGGCACCAAAUGUGUGUCCAGAAACUCUUGUCGCAAAUGUGCUUGCUCACAGCUCAACUCUCCUACACGUUCGGUCCCUAUUGUGUGUUGUAUGGUGAUCUGCUCUCAACAUCAGAUGAGAGAAAGCACUGCCCCCUAGGCUUCUGCCAAUGGCUCCAUGGGACCUGCUCUUCAGUGGUGGCUGAAAGAGCUCAGCCUCAUCCUGGCACCUUCCUCAACCCACUGCAGGCCUAUAGAUUUCCAGGUGACUCUUUUGGCCUGUGUUUAAUACUGAUGACAUUCUUCAGUAGGUUUGAAUCCUUAACUGACAAUGGUUCCUUUGGUCAUUGAGUUUUUCUCAUGAAUUUUUAAAAACGUAAUUUUCUAAAAUUAUGCAAGUGAUACAUGAAUUUGUGUUUAGUCUUGUUUUCCCUCUAUUUUUGACCCAGGCGCAGAGGAUUAAGUGACUCAGACUCCUCAGUUCAUGGUUCCAUCUCAGCACUGGUCUGUGCAAGGCCUCUCUUUAAUUCCGUAAAGACAGAGCUGGCGUGCGGCCUGUGGGCAGAUCGCAGUGCCUCCCACCUCUGAAGCUACGGUUUCUACUUUCUCCACAACAGAAACCCAGAUGUGGGCAGUGGCCAAGAUGGCGGCAUUGGUCCAGCGGGCAGCCAUGACACAGCUUCUGGGGCAGAGGCCAAGCAUGGAGGCCUGUUGCUAGGAAACAGAAAUUCCCAGGCCACCUUUCACAUCCAGAGACCCUGACUUGCCCAAGUCUCUGACUUCAGUUACUCUAGCCUGUGGAAGCGGCAGGAGACAAGUAUAUAGAAUGCUGAGCUGGGCCUUCAGGGUCUGUGUUGCCAGAAAACCCCCAAAUCUGGCAAAGGAAAGUAAACAAUUAUUCAUACUCUGUGAUCUCUUUGAUGCCAAUAAGAAGUGGUCUGUUGAAAAUGUGCAGGAUCCAGAAGGGAUAUUCUCCCCAUUACCCAACUCAGAGGUUUCCACAAUGGACCACACGACCUGGGGUCUGAGAGAACAAAGCUGGUGGUAGAUCCUUGCAGAGGGCAGAACAGGCUGGUGAGGGCAGACCAACAGACUAGGGCACUUGCUCCUCUGUCAGGGCAAGAAUUUCUUGCCAUUCUGGACGUCAGAAUGUAUAUGCCAUGGACUGAUGACCACUUUUUUCCAAUCUCUCCUCUCCAAGUCAGAGUUAUUUUGGAUGGUGUUAGAAUACUCUAUUCAAGUGCUGGGGUUGGUCAAAUUCAUCGUUCAGCCAUAGGUGGCCAGACCAUGAGGACCCAUGUCCCAGACCUAGCAGAAAGGACAGCACAUCUCCCAGAGCGGGAUACUGUGACUCGAUAAACCUUGAGUUGUCUUCGCUGGGGGAGAGAGUAAAGGCAUUUUAUGUGUAUAGGCAAAUGCAUCUUCGUAGCUGUAGUGAGAAAAGAGGGUGCGUAAGGAGAGGGCGUGUGUGGCUAUUGGGCAUCCAAGAAGAGAUAGAUGAUAGCAGUGUCAUCCGACUUGGACCCCUUUACUCAUCUCUGGUCACUGUUCUUUGAUUUUCCUUUCCAGAUUCACCCUCCCCCAGCCUCAGCUCAGACGAGGCUGAGUAAGUAAAUCAGGAUGAAGCCCAUCCAGGAAAGUGAGUUCAGCUGCCAGUGUUGGAGCCACUGCUUCUGUCUUGCCACCACAUGAGACCUGAGACCAAAGCCAACACAAGGAGGGCCAGGCUGAAGGACAGAGAGAAGCCAAGUUUUGAUUGUAUCAUUUGAAAUCCUGAAGCCUGGGGUAUCUAAAGCCAGACCUACUCAUGGAUCAGGCCUGGCUACAUCAUUUGUGGGGCCCAUUGUUCCAAAAGCAGGGGCAAAGUGCCAUUAAAUGUACUCAAAUAUGAAA
Long non-coding RNA from Equus caballus (horse), 8245 nucleotides. RefSeq lists it as uncharacterized. The record is from RefSeq and is a predicted model, not a curated record. NCBI's taxonomy places the organism in Eukaryota, Metazoa, Chordata, Mammalia, Perissodactyla, Equidae.